AGGACGAACGCUGGCGGCGUGCCUAACACAUGCAAGUGGAGCGACGAACCAGGCUUCGGCCUGGGGCAGAGCCGCGAACGGGUGAGUAACACGUGGGUAACCUGCCCUGAUGAUUGGGACAACCCGAGGAAACUCGGGCUAAUACCGAAUGUGCCCUCCGGCCUCAAGGCCGCUGGGGAAAGGAAGCUUCGGCCUCCGCAUCGGGAUGGGCCCGCGGCCCAUUAGCUUGUUGGUGAGGUAACGGCUCACCAAGGCAACGAUGGGUAGCUGGUCUGAGAGGACGAUCAGCCACACUGGGACUGAGAUACGGCCCAGACUCCUACGGGAGGCAGCAGUGGGGAAUAUUGCGCAAUGGGCGGAAGCCUGACGCAGCAACGCCGCGUGCGGGAGGAAGGCCUUCGGGUCGUAAACCGCUUUCAGGGGGGACGAAGCCACCAGGGUUAAUAGCCCAUGGGGUGACGGUACUCCCAGAAGAAGCCCCGGCUAACUACGUGCCAGCAGCCGC
RNAcentral lists this ribosomal RNA (505 nucleotides) under uncultured bacterium. Its description in RNAcentral is "SSU rRNA". It matches the Rfam family "Bacterial small subunit ribosomal RNA", at positions 26 to 518 of the family's 1533-position model. The record is from RNAcentral.